Molecule: ribosomal RNA, 403 nt
Filed under: uncultured cyanobacterium
Lineage: Bacteria; Bacillati; Cyanobacteriota
Description: bacterial SSU rRNA
Rfam family: Bacterial small subunit ribosomal RNA
Source: RNAcentral
UUCCGCAAUGGGCGAAAGCCUGACGGAGCAAGACCGCGUGGGGGAAGAAGGCUCUUGGGUUGUAAACCCCUUUUCUCUGGGAAGAACACAAUGACGGUACCAGAGGAAUCAGCAUCGGCUAACUCCGUGCCAGCAGCCGCGGUAAGACGGAGGAUGCAAGCGUUAUCCGGAAUGAUUGGGCGUAAAGCGUCCGCAGGUGGCAGUUCAAGUCUGCUGUCAAAGACCGGGGCUUAACCUCGGAAAGGCAGUGGAAACUGAACAGCUAGAGUAUGGUAGGGGCAAAGGGAAUUCCUGGUGUAGCGGUGAAAUGCGUAGAGAUCAGGAAGAACAUCGGUGGCGAAGGCGCUUUGCUGGACCAUAACUGACACUCAGGGACGAAAGCUAGGGGAGCGAAUGGGAUUAG